GACGAACGCUGGCGGCGUGCUUAACACAUGCAAGUCGAACGGAAAGGCCCUGCUUUUGUGGGGUGCUCGAGAGGCGAACGGGUGAGUAACACGUGAGUAACCUGCCCUUGACUUUGGGAUAACUUCAGGAAACUGGGGCUAAUACCGGAUAGGAGCUCCUGCUGCAUGGUGGGGGUUGGAAAGUUUCGGCGGUUGGGGAUGGACUCGCGGCUUAUCAGCUUGUUGGUGGGGUAGUGGCUUACCAAGGCUUUGACGGGUAGCCGGCCUGAGAGGGUGACCGGCCACAUUGGGACGGAGGUGCGGCCCAGAAUCCUACGGGAGGAAGCAGUGGGGAAGAAUGCACAAUGGGCGGAAGCCUGAUGCAGCAACGCCGCGGGCGGGAUGACGGCCUUCGGGUUGUAAACCGCUUUCGCCUGUGACGAAGCGGGAGGGGCGGUAAUGGGUAAAGAAGCACCGGCUAACUACGUG
Molecule: ribosomal RNA, 468 nt
Filed under: uncultured bacterium
Lineage: Bacteria
Description: partial 16S ribosomal RNA
Rfam family: Bacterial small subunit ribosomal RNA
Source: RNAcentral